Molecule: ribosomal RNA, 253 nt
Filed under: uncultured bacterium
Lineage: Bacteria
Description: partial 16S ribosomal RNA
Rfam family: Bacterial small subunit ribosomal RNA
Source: RNAcentral
UACGGAGGGUGCAAGCGUUAUCCGGAUUCACUGGGUUUAAAGGGUGCGUAGGCGGAUAUGUAAGUCCGUGGUGAAAUCUCUGGGCUUAACCCGGAAACUGCCAUUGAUACUAUUUGUCUUGAAUACUGUGGAGGUCAGCGGAAUAUGUCAUGUAGCGGUGAAAUGCUUAGAUAUGACAUAGAACACCAAUUGCGAAGGCAGCUGGCUACACAAAUAUUGACACUGAGGCACGAAAGCGUGGGGAUCAAACAGG